CUGGAGUACACUAACCUCUCUGCAAACAGUGUUUGCUACUGUUUUGAUUGCAUUCUCAAAUGUAUUUUAUGUAAAGCAUACCUGAGGAAGUGACAAAACAGUUUUGGUGAAAUUUAAAGCUUAAUAAGUUAAGGUAUCUCUAUUAAAAGGAAGAGUGGCAUCUUGGAAAGCAAGAAGAAUGAGAAGAUGAGCAUAAACAAGAAAAGAGUAAUAAAAGAAAAAAGACGAUUGGUACUACUUUUCUUCCUCGCACACAGUUGCAUGUCUAAUUAGAUGUCACAUGUAUUAAUCAAUAAAUUCAAUUUAAGUUUUUUUUUUUUUUUUAAUUUUUAAUUUUAAACGGAAUUUAAGUUAUUGCCAAGAAUAGUAAAAAAACAAAUUAGGUUAAUUUUAUAAAUAUUUUUAUUAUAUCUACUUGUUGGGCUCGGGGUCUAUAGAGGUUGAUACGGACCCUUACAAUUUGGGCUGAUAAACCCAAUUCGUUUUCAGUCUCUUAAAAAUAUACAUCGAUCCCAAACACUCCAGACAAGCCCAGAUAUUUUGCCUGCUUGAACGGCGUCGUAGCAUCCCGGCGGGAAGAAGAAUUCAAAACCGUAUCAGAAAUGGAGGACGAAGAAGAAAAUAUUGGUAGACGACGACGUUUCAGUCGGGGUCACCGUCAUCACAAGCUAUCUGGGUGCUACCCCAAAACAUCUCUGUUUCAAUUCUUUGAACCCAUUUACAGGCUCUCUAUAUGCUUUUAUCUUAUUGUGGGAUUUCCCAAACUGGGAAGAAGAUUGGUGUGAAAGAGCAAUGAUAAAUGUUACGGAUGGGCAAUGAUAAAUGAUAGGGAUGGUUUUUGGGCUUGUUGAAGAAUGGUGGUUGAGCUUGCAAAUGGGUGUGCUUGUUUCACUGUCAACCAUAGUUUGGUCCAAGCACUGGAGAAAUUUUUUCAGAGAAAGCAAAGGUCAUGUUUUCUGGAGAGGAUGAAAAUGAAGAUGAGGAUGAGAAUGAUGAACCUGUGAAGAUAGACAAUUAAAAGGCGGAUUGAUAAUUUACCAUAAAAAAAUCCCUCUUGCAAGAAUAUGAUGGGUUCAAGUAACUAAUGAGACCACAGACACAUCCAAGGCUACUGCAGGGGAUUGAACUUGUAAAGAAGGCACUGGUUUUUGGGUGUGAGAAGAUUUCAAACUGCCAUUGCUCCUAGAGAUAGGUGUGGCAUUGCCUCGAAUUAUCAAGAAUUGAGCUUGUAAUAACAGGGGAGGCAGUUUGUAGAAUGAAGAAGCAAAAAUUCUUGGAAGCGACAUAAGUUGAUGCAUUUGGUUGUUUAUAUGUUUCUGCAUUCUCCUGCUCAAAGAACCUUCUCUACAUUCAUACUUCCACCGAGCUUUAAACCGUAGAACAUCCUAAACCAUGUGGUUUGCUUUGAAGUUCAAUGGAGAGUUUCCCACUUCCAGGAGCUGCAUGAUCAAGCUGCAAACUUUGCAGUAUGGGUUCAUCAAUUUAAUCUGAAAAUUUAAGACUUCCAUUCUUGUAUUAGGUUUUCCUAACCAGCACCAUUGAUGAGUUGUAAAUUUAUGCUGUACCUGCUUAACUUUCAAGGUUGCCAUAUUAAUUAAAUUCUUAUUAAUUUGGCAGGGAAGCUACUCAAAGAACAGAAUAUGUAAGAUUUGUAUGCUUUUAGACACUCAUGUAAGGCAAACGGAAAGCCAAUGCUUAGCGUUAGCGGGAUUUUUUUUGUAUGUUUUGGUUUAACGGUAUAUAAGACUGUGAAAUUGUUUAGCAUUUGAUAAA
Long non-coding RNA from Ziziphus jujuba (common jujube), 1773 nucleotides. RefSeq lists it as uncharacterized. The transcript is spliced from 4 exons. Lineage: Eukaryota; Viridiplantae; Streptophyta; Magnoliopsida; Rosales; Rhamnaceae. The record is from RefSeq and is a predicted model, not a curated record.